GAGUGUGUCAGUGGAAUAUGGUCAUCGUCAGCAUGGAUUGGAAGUCCUUGGAGUCUGAAGACUUGAGGAAUUUGUGAGACACAAAAACACAGGCCAGAUCUUUACCAAAAAAGGGAGCCAGUUUUCCUCACAGGGACUCUUCACACCAAGAUUUCAAUGUGGAACCCAGCUGGUUGGAAGUGAUUUCAUAUUGUUCCUGGAAAAGGCUGUGGGUCUGGAAGAUGUACUAUCAACAGUGGGCCUGGAUCAUUCACCACAGCACUUGGCAGAGGUGUGGGUGGAUAUACCACAUGCAAAGCAAAACUGCAGCCUGACCACCCAGUUUAUAUAGAAUCCCUGCCUCCACCUCUAAGCUGCCAGCCAUUUCUGUUCCAGCAGCCUUGCCAGUCUUGGCCUCAACCAGCACUAAAUGAUCAAAGUUAUGAGCACAGCAUACAACCGUGUAUCAUACCCAAGCAAAAUCUUCAUGGUUGCUUUGUUCUGCUGUGUGUUCUUUAGUUUUAGGAAGCAUAGGUACUUAGAGAAAUAAAACUACCCACACUUCACCCCCAGUGUCUGCCAAGAAGGGGUACUGGCUCACUCUUAACAAUCAACCCUUCCUUGGGUAGUUCCAGAGAAACGGGCAGGUGCCAAUAUAAAUCUGGAAGUUUUGAGUUUAUGUCCUGCUUCUCACACAUGAUGACCUACAUUCUCAUCUGAGAGCUUCUCACACGUGAUGACCUACAUUCUCAUCUGAGAGAGAGACACAUCUGUCCUAUUCUCCUCAGAGGUGCGGCAUCUAGGAGAAAGCAUAUGAUGAACGGGAGUGUACCAUGUUCAUAUGAAGAACCGUGUUCAUGAUACCAAGACCUUUUAUAUUUCUUGGACUUUAUUAUUUUUUUCCUUGAUCUUUUAUUCCCUUUUCAUUAUUUU
RNAcentral lists this long non-coding RNA (912 nucleotides) under Homo sapiens (human). RNAcentral's name for it is "HSALNT0311812". The record is from RNAcentral. Lineage: Eukaryota; Metazoa; Chordata; Mammalia; Primates; Hominidae.